UACGGAGGGGGCUAGCGUUGUUCGGAAUUACUGGGCGUAAAGCGCACGUAGGCGGCUUUGUAAGUUAGAGGUGAAAGCCCAGGGCUUAACCCUGGAAUUGCCUUUAAGACCGCAUCGCUAGAAUCGUGGAGAGGUGAGUGGAAUUCCGAGUGUAGAGGUGAAAUUCGUAGAUAUUCGGAAGAACACCAGUGGCGAAGGCGACUCACUGGACACGUAUUGACGCUGAGGUGCGAAAGCGUGGGGAGCAAACAGG
Molecule: ribosomal RNA, 253 nt
Filed under: uncultured bacterium
Lineage: Bacteria
Description: partial 16S ribosomal RNA
Rfam family: Bacterial small subunit ribosomal RNA
Source: RNAcentral